AUAUAAUACCAGAGGGUGUGUUAAUGUAAAAAUGAAACAAGUUUGAAAUAAAGCAGGGAGAAAGAUGAAAAGAUUGCAUGAAUACUUCUCUAAAACCAGUGGGUUUAGGAUGAGGUGGGAGACUCCCGUGCCUGCAAAAGAAGGUCCAUGAUAGCUUCUUCAGUUAUGCCUAAGAAAUUUUUAUUUCAUGGCAGACAAGGUUAAAAAUAAGAACAAUGAUGUUUCACAGUAUGAACCAAUUAGCCAAAGAGAGAGGUACAGGGAAUAAGUCAUCUGCUUUAUCUACAUCUUCUAAUAGAAAGAUCCUGAGACUUGGAUUUGAAGCACUACUCUUUUACUUACUGGGUGACCUGGCCUCAGGGACAAUGCAUUACUCUUCUUUGUGACUCCCACAUCACAGCACAUCACACAAGGGCUGUACAUGUAUUGAGUGAUUGAAUUUUAAGUCUAAGUUGGACUAGCCUAGUUCAAAGAAUACCUGAAGGUAUCAGUGAGAUUUCUUAGGUCAUGGUCUUUCUCAUUCUGAGUCUGCGAAAGGACAAUAUGAAACAAGGCCCUGCUGACCAGAGAUGAACACAUGGAAUGAUGGUGACUGGUCCAGCACUCAUGUGGAGACCACACUAUGAAUAGCACUGUUCUGGAAGGAUGCCAGAGUUUCCAGCUUGGAUGACAAGAGGGAUGAUGACUUUAGCCAAAUUAUGGAAUGAAGAAGUAGAUUGAGAGGUUGAGGUUAAGUUCUAUUUUGGACAUGUUAUUCUUGAUGUCCCAGUGGAACACAGAUGAAGAAAUCCAUGAGGCUGCUGGCAAUUCAGACUGUGUUUCAUUUGUAGAGAAAAAUCUCACAUAUGGUAGGUAUUUAGUAAGGUUUUUGAAAAACAUAAAUGGAAGCAAACUUUACAUUUAAUUGUCUGUAAGGUAAAAAUGCUACUAUGUCUGUUGAAACAGACAAUGGCAGGAUAUUAGGAUAAAUAUCUAAUAUAGCUCCUCAGGCUUCUGAGAAAUUAUGUCACAAUCUGAAAAUCUGAAUAAGAAGACAACAGUGCAUGACAUGAAAAACUGACUUUUUCACAAAGGAAAAUGGAAUAAGGCAGACAUUUUUUAUCUCUGCUUUAUUCAUUCAUUUUUUUAGUACUACACUUCAUAUGUUUGCUAUGAUGUAAUUGACUGGGUCAAGUCUACCGAGGAAUUACAGAAGUUGGACAAGUUGUUUUGAUAUAUGUUGGAUCACUUUUAUUUUAAACACAUAUUCUGCCUGGAAAGAAAAAUUAAUCUGCCUUUUAUCCAAAGUUGUAUUUAAAUAACUGGAAUCUUACUGUGCUACUGCAUGGUAGGAGUUCUCUGAUUGCUGGUGGCCAACUGUCCUCCCUGCUCUACAUUUUUACCCCAGUGACCCUUAUUCUCAGGCCCAAAAGCCCAUCCGCAGUGUUUGCUGUUGUAAUACCCCUUGUUCUAAUAUUGCAAUCUCUCAGGUUGAACUUUUCCUCCAGCUGUUUCUGAGAGUCCACCUUCUUGCCUAAUCUGGUCAGGGAACCCCUGGACUAACACCUUCCACUACAAUUGUGCUACUUUUAAGUGUUUGAGAAAUCAUUGAAUUAUUUUCUACACUAUAUUAUGAAGCAAUUAAUUCAACAAUUUCAACCACAAAUAUCUUCUGCAUACCUACCA
Pipistrellus kuhlii (Kuhl's pipistrelle) is the source of this 1665-nucleotide long non-coding RNA. RefSeq lists it as uncharacterized. Lineage: Eukaryota; Metazoa; Chordata; Mammalia; Chiroptera; Vespertilionidae. The record is from RefSeq and is a predicted model, not a curated record. The transcript is spliced from 4 exons.